This 72-nucleotide transfer RNA is filed under the name Camelus ferus (Wild Bactrian camel). It matches the Rfam family "tRNA". Rfam says of the family: Transfer RNA (tRNA) molecules are approximately 80 nucleotides in length. Their secondary structure includes four short double-helical elements and three loops (D, anti-codon, and T loops). Lineage: Eukaryota; Metazoa; Chordata; Mammalia; Artiodactyla; Camelidae. The record is from Rfam by way of RNAcentral.
GAGGGUAUAGCUCACUAGUAGAGUGUGUGCCUAGAAUGUUCAAGGUCCUGGGUUCAAUGCCCAUUGCCUCCA